UUGGUCCUACGGGGCGCAGCAGUGAGGAAUAUUGGUCAAUGGGCGUAAGCCUGAACCAGCCAAGUCGCGUGAGAGAUGAAGGUUCUAUGGAUCGUAAACCUCUUUUAUAAGGGAAUAAAGUGUGGGACGUGUCCUAUUUUGUAUGUACCUUAUGAAUAAGGAUCGGCUAACUCCGUGCCAGCAGCCGCGGUAAUACGGAGGAUCCGAACGUUAUCCGGAUAUAUUGGGUUUAAAGGGUGCGUAGGC
Molecule: ribosomal RNA, 246 nt
Filed under: uncultured bacterium
Lineage: Bacteria
Description: partial 16S ribosomal RNA
Rfam family: Bacterial small subunit ribosomal RNA
Source: RNAcentral